Long non-coding RNA from Scylla paramamosain (green mud crab), 1372 nucleotides. RefSeq lists it as uncharacterized. Lineage: Eukaryota; Metazoa; Arthropoda; Malacostraca; Decapoda; Portunidae. The record is from RefSeq and is a predicted model, not a curated record. The transcript has 2 exons.
CUCUCUCUCUCUCUCUCUCUUGAUCGACAAGUCCUGUUUAUUUAUUGAUGCAUUUAUACAUUCAUUUAUCUACUUAUUUAUUUACAACAAUGUAUUCUAUUCCCGAUCUCCUCUGUUGUGAGAAUAAAGAGGAGGGAGGAAGAAGAGCAUAUGCUAUCUUCUUUCUUUUCUUUCCUUUUUUCUUUCAAAGCAGACGAAGGAAUGUCAUCUAUCACCAAAAUGAACACUCACGCCUCUAUACUCAAGCCUCCUGUGCCUCAUUCCUUACGGCGCCCCUCGCCAGGGUAUUAGCGGUCUGCCAAGGGAGACGAAUCGUUCAGCGGGGCACUCAUUCAAGAACUCUGCCGCCGCCUGAGUUGUGUUGCAAUAAAUCCUCCGCUUCACUCUGGUCUCCGCACCGUUACACCCGGUACACAUUUCGGCACGCACUCAGGCCUCGCCCAUCGCUGAGUGAUGGGUCACGUUACUUUGUAGGUAAGUAAUGUGUCUUGCAUCCGUAAUCUAAAUGUUUCGUUUACCCAAUUUCCCUUUUCCAGGACCAACCAACCGUUUUCUUCAUUUUUUUUUAUCCUCUCUCUCUCUCUUUUUUUUUUUUUCUUUCUUUUAGGAAAUUCCAAGGUGUAAUGGAGCAUGCCUCGUCGGGUGAUGGAUGGCCACCACCCGGGCAACGGCACUACAUAACCUUUAUUAAUUCUUCAUGACUUGAGAACCAUGAGCCAGUGAGAACAGUUAGCCGCCCACACUGCUGGGCCGCUGUGCUCCAUGCAGUGGUUAGCUGGGCUGGGCAGUGAGUGGUGCCAUUGUUCCCGCUGAGCUGCUGGCCACGCGCUGCACGUCUGAAUAAUAAAGAGAACAGUAACGCUCACUCGUCCCUGCAGCUUUGUCCCCUCGGCGCCCCGGCAUUCGGCGUGGGGUGGACGCAGGUGGCGGGGACAUCUCCGGCACUCUCAUGGAUCAGCCAGUCCAGGAGCAGCCAUGACUCAGGCAGCCACGACCCCCCUCGCCGCCUCACUCCUGCUGGCGCUGCUGGUGGUGGCGCCUCUCCUGCAGUGCGACGCCCUCCCUCUCGCAGGCCAGGCGCAUGACGCGGCACACUCACAACCGCCACUCGCGCUGAGGCAACAACAGCAGCAGCGGGGAAGCAGGAAACUGAUCGAGAUGAGAACCCGGGCGGCGGAGGCGAGGACAGGGGACUCAGGCGGUGACGUGGGGCAGGUGAAGGUGUACACGCUGCAGAGAGGUGUGUGGACAGCGCCAUCUCUUGAUAUCUACCUUGCGUACAAUUUCACCGAGCAGGACAGAGCCGUUUCCUCCUUCACUGCUUGUUACUGGAUCAGGCGAGUGUUCUUGUGUUCUUUUCUUAUCUGUUUAU